This 87-nucleotide transfer RNA is filed under the name Spirochaetota bacterium. RNAcentral's name for it is "Spirochaetes bacterium (wastewater metagenome) tRNA-Ser". It matches the Rfam family "tRNA". From Rfam's summary of the family: Transfer RNA (tRNA) molecules are approximately 80 nucleotides in length. Their secondary structure includes four short double-helical elements and three loops (D, anti-codon, and T loops). Lineage: Bacteria; Pseudomonadati; Spirochaetota. The record is from RNAcentral.
GGAGAGAUGCCCGAGAGGCCGAAGGGGACGGUUUGCUAAACCGUUGUACCAAUUACGGUACCGAGGGUUCGAAUCCCUCUCUCUCCG